This 320-nucleotide unclassified non-coding RNA is filed under the name plant metagenome. RNAcentral describes it as "partial contains 5.8S ribosomal RNA, internal transcribed spacer 2, and large subunit ribosomal RNA". The stretch from base 1 to 105 matches the Rfam family "5.8S ribosomal RNA", at positions 50 to 154 of the family's 154-position model. The record is from RNAcentral.
GAAAUGCGAUAAGUAAUGUGAAUUGCAGAAUUCAGUGAAUCAUCGAAUCUUUGAACGCACAUUGCGCCCGCCAGUAUUGUGGCGGGCAUGCCUGUUCGAGCGUCAUUACAACCCUCAGGCCCCCGGGCCUGGCGUUGGGGAUCGGCGGAAGCCCCCUGCGGGCACAACGCCGUCCCCCAAAUACAGUGGCGGUCCCGCCGCAGCUUCCAUUGCGUAGUAGCUAACACCUCGCAACUGGAGAGCGGCGCGGCCACGCCGUAAAACACCCAACUUCUGAAUGUUGACCUCGAAUCAGGUAGGAAUACCCGCUGAACUUAAGC